Molecule: ribosomal RNA, 253 nt
Filed under: uncultured bacterium
Lineage: Bacteria
Also listed under: 1 other name
Description: partial 16S ribosomal RNA
Rfam family: Bacterial small subunit ribosomal RNA
Source: RNAcentral
UACGUAGGGUGCAAGCGUUAAUCGGAAUUACUGGGCGUAAAGCGUGCGUAGUCGGUAUUGAGAGUCGCGGGUGAAAUCCCAGGGCUUAACCCUGGAACUGCCUGCGAGACCUCAGUACUAGAGUGUGAGAGGGGAUAGUGGAAUACCCAGUGUAGCGGUGAAAUGCGUAGAGAUUGGGUGGAACACCGGUGGCGAAGGCGGCUAUCUGGCUCACAACUGACGAUCAGGCACGAAAGCGUGGGGAGCAAACAGG